AUUGAACGCUGGCGGCAGGCCUAACACAUGCAAGUCGAGCGGAUGAAGGGAGCUUGCUCCUGGAUUCAGCGGCGGACGGUUGAGUAAUUCCUAGGAAUCUGCCUGGUAGUGAGGGAUAACGUCCGCAAACGGGAGCUCAUGCCGCAUACGUCCUGAGGGAGAAAGUGGGGAUCGUCGGACCUCACGCUCUCUGAUCAGCCUAGGUCGGAUUAUCUAGUUGGUGGGGUAAAGGCCUACCAAGGCGACGAUCCGUAACUGGUCUGAGAGGAUGAUCAGUCACACUGGAAUUGAGACGCGGUCCAAAAUCCGACGGGAGGCACCGGUGCAAAAUAUUGGAGAAUGGGCGGAAGCCUGAUCUAGCCAUGCCGCGUGUGUGAAGAACGUCUUCGGAUUGUGAAGCACUUAAAGUUGGGAGGCAGGGAAGUAAGUUAAUACCUUGCUGUUUUGACGUUACCAACAGAAUAAGCGCCGGCUAACUUCGUG
This 483-nucleotide ribosomal RNA is filed under the name uncultured bacterium. Its description in RNAcentral is "partial 16S ribosomal RNA". It matches the Rfam family "Bacterial small subunit ribosomal RNA", at positions 30 to 507 of the family's 1533-position model. The record is from RNAcentral.